Myotis davidii is the source of this 75-nucleotide non-coding RNA. Lineage: Eukaryota; Metazoa; Chordata; Mammalia; Chiroptera; Vespertilionidae. The record is from Rfam.
GGUGGUUCUUGGGUGAUGCACUCUGGAACUAGGCUCCCUCCUCUCUGGUGCCAGGGGCAUCACCCAAGAACCACA